GAUGAAUGCUGGCGGCGUGCCUAAUACAUGCAAGUCGAGCGAAUGGAUUAAGAGCUUGCUCUUAUGAAGUUAGCGGCGGACGGGUGAGUAACACGUGGGUAACCUGCCCAUAAGACUGGGAUAACUCCGGGAAACCGGGGCUAAUACCGGAUAACAUUUUGAACCGCAUGGCUCGAAAUUGAAAGGCGGCUUCGGCUGUCACUUAUGGAUGGACCCGCGUCGCAUUAGCUAGUUGGUGAGGUAACGGCUCACCAAGGCAACGAUGCGUAGCCGACCUGAGAGGGUGGUCGGCCACACUGGGACUGAAAAACGGCCCAGACUCCUACGGGAGGCAGCAGUAGGGAAUCUUCCGCAAUGGACGAAAGUCUGACGGAGCAACGCCGCGUGAGUGAUGAAGGCUUUCGGGUCGUAAAACUCUGUUGUUAGGGAAGAACAAGUGCUAGUUGAAUAAGCUGGCACCUUGACGGUACCUAACCAGAAAGCCACGGCUAACUACGUGCCAGCCGCCGCGGUAA
This 515-nucleotide ribosomal RNA is filed under the name uncultured bacterium. RNAcentral describes it as "partial 16S ribosomal RNA". It matches the Rfam family "Bacterial small subunit ribosomal RNA", at positions 28 to 523 of the family's 1533-position model. The record is from RNAcentral.